CCCGAGGACGCACUAUGGCGAGCGGCGUGGGGGGAGGGGGAAACGGCCGCCACGAUCCAGGAACCUCCCACCCGGCCCCUCGCAGUUUGGGUGUGGGUGAGAUUUGGGUGGGGACCCGGAGCCAAGCCCUGUGAGUGCCGGACGCGGCCGGGCUGCACUUUGCCGUGGAGGACUCUGAGGGUAGACGGGAGAUACUUAACUGGCGCGAUUCUGUCUCCCACCUACCCAGUCCCCACUGCGAAGACUUUGGCAGUGACUGCAGGUGUUCUGCUGCUGCAGCCGUGGGGAGGUGUGCUACUGGCAGUGAGUGGGUCAAGGCCAGGCAGGCCACUCAGCAGCCUCAAUAUGCAGGAAAGGUCCCUCCCUAAGGAUUAUCUGGCCCAAAAUGUCAUACCGUCAAGGAUUUGAGAAAUGCUGCCCUGGAGAAUAAGGAUAUCCACGAUAAAUUACAUUAUGAUAAUA
Molecule: non-coding RNA, 462 nt
Organism: Macaca mulatta (Rhesus monkey)
Lineage: Eukaryota; Metazoa; Chordata; Mammalia; Primates; Cercopithecidae
Source: RefSeq, a predicted model, not a curated record